This is a non-coding RNA of Callithrix jacchus (white-tufted-ear marmoset), 14506 nucleotides long. The record is from RefSeq and is a predicted model, not a curated record. NCBI's taxonomy places the organism in Eukaryota, Metazoa, Chordata, Mammalia, Primates, Cebidae.
UAGAUGACUCUGACUCUCUUAAACUUUCCAUUGAUCAAGGACAAUGGUGAAAUACUGGGAUUUCUAAAGCUUCUUCUAAUAAGUGAUGACUCUUACCACCCUGCCUAUUUUGUGAGGUAUGGCGAGGGCGUAGGAUUAUUGGCAGAUAUAGAGAUGUAGAAAAUGAGAUUCAUGAGUGACUGAAUGAAUUACAAGUCAGACCUUGGACCCAGGACUUCUGAUUCCAAGGUGAGUGUUACCUCCUUUACAGAGGAUUGUCUCUGCAGAUAGUAUGUAAAAUUAAUGGAAAUGAGGAGGUGGGCUAUGAGGGAAAUGUGCAAUCAACUCUGAAAUUGCAGAGUGCAGAUGUCAGCAAAGCAGGUAGUUCAUUAAAGAAGAUCAAUAGGCUGAACAGCAUGGUUGCCAUGAGAUGCACCACAGAUCGCUGUUUUGUGUAUACAUGAGAGUUGGCUAUAUGGUGGAUCAAAAAUAAAAAUAAAACAGGCUGGAUGUGGUGGCUCACAUCUGUAAUCCCAGCACUUUGGGAGGCUAAGGCGGGUAGACCACUUGAGAUGAGGAGUCUGAGAACAGCCUGGCCAACAUGGUGAAAUCCCAUCUCUACAAAUAAGACAAUUAGCCAGGUGUUGUGGUGUGCACCUGUGAUCCCAGUCUCUUGGGAGGCUGAGGCAGGAGAAUCGCUUGAACCCAGGAGACACGGGUUGAAGUGAGCCGAGAUACUGCCACUGCACUCCAUCCUGUGCAACAGAGCGAGACUCCACCUCAUUCCGUCCGUCCGUCCGUCCAUCCAUCCAUCCAUCCAUCCAUCCUUCCUUCCAUCCUUCCUACUCCUUUUAGUUGCAUGCAGUGAUUGUUGAUUAUUUGUAAGUGAUGCUUCCACACUUGUUUCCUUGAUAAAGUAAUUGAUCAACAUAUGGUCCCUUCAUGCCUUUUCUAAUUGAUGCUUAUGGAAAAGCUGACAACAAUAAAUGACAGGGUUAUUGUAAUACCCAAUCAAGAUAUUUGAGGAUAGAGAUGGUUUAUAGUGCUCUAAACAUCACUGUAGAUCCUCAGUAAACGUUACUGAGGAUGGAAAAGUCUGGCGGAACGCUCAGUAAAAGGUAGACAUGCAUGUUUUGGAGAAAGGGAAUGGAUGGGAUGUAGGAAAUGCUAAUACAUAGUUAAUGCAUAGGCAAUAGACACAGAGCUUGUAAUGUAUAAUGGACAAGCACUUACCUUGUAGAAUAAUGGUAGUUUUGACGAAGGAUAAAGAGUGAUUACUUUUAACUUAUUGGUACCUAUUGGUCUUCCAAUCCAGUGAAUAGCCUUUCAAAGUUCAAGUUUGGGCCACAUUAUCCAUCCCAAGGUUACAUUUUCCAUGGAAUAACAAUGACCCCAACUCCAGCUACUUUUCACAUGCCAUAGUCAUGCACUCAGCCGAACACCCCUGCAAGCACUUUUUACACGCCUCUGUUAUGUUAAGUGCUUGAGGCCACAGAUCUGAUUGAGAUGCCCCAGAGAAAGGUUAUUAAGUGAGAAGAGUGAGAAGAGUAGAGGGCCUCCUUCAAGUAUUAAAGCACCCCAACACUUAUAGGCUACGUAAAUGAGGAUUUUGAUGAGUAGCUGGGGGCAGGAGCACAAUUAGGAGAGGGUGACAUCACUACAGAAAUCAAAGGAAGAAAGUGUUUCACAAAGGAGGGUGUGGUCAACAGGGCUGAGUUGUUGGGGAAGAUGAGGGCUGAAAAAGUCAGUUGGCUCAAGUAAUAUGGAGACCACUAGAGAACUUGGCAAGGGCUGUUUCGGCGAAGUGGAGUGAGCAGAAAUCAGAUCUCUGUGGGCUGAAAAGGGCAGUGGCAUCCUCAUGCCAGCUGGUCUCCUAGUGGCUGCCCCUGUGACCUGCUUCUGAAUGGCCAGGCAGGAAAGGACUCCCACUGUGUUGCAUUUAAAGAAAAGAAAAAGAUGAAUUAAGUGAAAAGCUCUGCAAACAACUGAGUGUAAUUAUUGGGUAGGUACUCAUGAGUGAGCCAGCCUGCAUUUCUGAACUCACGUCGUGGGAAAAGCAACAAACACUUUUAAGACAAAAGAUAAAGGAAAUGAAAACUUGUCCUGGCCCCUGAACGUAUUGCCAGCUGUCAUCCCUGCUUCUAUGAUGCAUGUGUAGGGCGGAGAUUCAGCUAAAUGGAGCAUCUAUGGCAAGAAGCUUCAAGGAACAUUGAUUUUCUUCCCUGGGUGUCUGAAAAAGCUCUGCUCUCCAGGCAUCUUUAUUUGGUUUGCUGACCAAAGUAUUAUUCACACUUCUCCUGCAGUCAUUCCAAUGCCACACCUGCUGCAAGGUGGUCCUGGCUCCUGCCUCUGAAUGACAGUAGUCUGGAUCUCUGACUUGAGCCAUGCAGCCCUUUGAAGGAAAAGUGCUUUAGGAGCCCAGCCCUCUGAGGAUGCAAAGCCUCUCCCAGGUGCUUGCUUUUAUCUGUCUUGUGUGGAGGAUGCCUUCUGUGAGGUCUUACGCCUCUAGGGUUUCCCUGGGUUGGUCCCUAUGUGAUGUUUCUAAUGUGAAAUGCAGCCUGUGAAAGAGAAGACAAUGCCUCGAGUCUGAUCUGUCCUAAGAUGAAUGUGCUAAUGCUCCAGGACCGAUAAGACAGAGGAGGUCAAGAAGGGGCCUUGUGGCCUGCUUCAAGCUAGAAGUCUACUGUGGUCGAUGAAAAAAUGCCCUACCCAAAGGACAGUUCUAGCAAACCAAUACAAACCCUCAAGGAAGAGAGAGGCAGUGUAAGAACUCAAUUGACCAUUGCUGGCUUUGAAGAUGGAGAGUGGGACCAUGACCCAAGGAAUGCAGGUAGCUUCCAGAACCUGGAAAGGGCUUCCAGUGCCAACACCUCGAUGUUAUCCCAGUGAGACUUGUGUUGACUUUCUGACCCAUAGAACUGUUAGAUAAUCAGUUUGUGUUGUAAGACACUAAGCUUCUGGUUACAGCAGAAUGAAGAAACUAAUACAUCUGUAGUUGAUAAAUUGAGAGGGAUUACGUUUGAUUUCUUUUCUCUAUCUACUUUUUGAACUUCAUUUUCUCCUGCUCCUCUCUUGCUAGCAAGGGGCAGAGGGCAGGGUGGAGGGGUAAGGGGAACAGAACAGGAUCAGGCUAGCUUUGCCCCUCAGGACCUGACUUUGCUUAAGCGGGACUCACUUAGGUGGUAUUUUCCUAUCACUGGGCCCCUCUCCCCUCUAAAGAUUCAUCUCUGUUGUUUGCUGCUCCAAUUCUCCAUAGUCUCUGAAGUUUUACCUUCAUUGUGUCCCACUCCUACGGCUAGCUCUUGGCAUCCUCUGAACUCUGGGUGGUUUUACCAAAUUGAGCCCCAAACAACCCCAUGCUGGCUCUCUCUCCAUCUCUCUCUCCCCGACUUGGCCAAGAUUGACUCAAUUGCAAACUUACACAUCCCUGGCCCUGACCAGGAUUGCAGGCCCAGGCACAGCAGUGUCCUUUCUGGACCACCAAGGCUGUUUGUUGACUUGCCUCACACCUCUAGAUUUCCGGAGAAGACGCAGCUCACUUAAGCUUUCUAGAUGCAGGUUUCACAUUUUAAAAACUCCUUGAGUGGUUGUUUGAGGGAGGCUUCCCUGUCUCAUCUCAGUUCUCCUGGCCUGAGGAGAAGUGGGUAGGAACAGCCAGAAGUGGUGGCACGGGGAGACCACGCACAACAACUAACAGCUCCCUCUUAGAAACGGACAGACAAAACACACAACAAAAACCACACUUUUGGACCGGGCGCAGUGGCUCAAGCCUGUAAUCCCAGCACUUUGGGAGGCCGAGACGGGUGGAUCACGAGGUUAAGAGAUCAAGACCAUUCUGGUCAACAUGGUGAAACCCCGUCUCUACUAAAAAUACAAAAAAAAAAUUAGCUGGGCGUGGUGGCGCGUGCCUGUAAUCCCAGCUACUCAGGAGGCUGAGGCAGGAGAAUUGCCUGAACCCAGGAGGCGGAGGUUGCGGUGAGCCGAGAUCGUGCCAUUGCACUCCAGCCUGGGUAACAAGAGCGAAACUCCAUCUCAAAAAAAAAACAAACAAACCAUAUUUCUAAACCCAUCAUCCCAUCUCUCCACAGCUUCAAUUCUUUUCAUCAUCCACAUUUGACUUAGGAUCCAAGAGUCUUAGAAAUAUUUCCCAUGCAUUUCUUCUUACCAAGCAUACUUUGACCUCUCCCUUUGGGUUUUGCAUUUGGGGUACUUGACUGAGAUUUCAAAUUUGAGAUUGUCAGUUCUCUCCCCCACCUCCAGUCAGCCUUGCCCACCUCAACAAAUGUCCACUUCAUUCUUUCAGUGUGGGUCACUCUGGACUUUGUUUUUUCUUUCACAUUAUCAGUCAACAAGUCUGUCGGUUCUACCUUUGAAAUAAAUUCAUCUAGGAUCCCACCCCUCUUCACCACUGCCACCACCAUGCUGGCUGAAGCCACUGUUACUUUUCAUGGGUUAGGACACCCUCUGUCUGGUGUUGCCUCUACCGUCUAGUCUCCACACAUAGCCAGAACUACCCUUAAAACGUAUAUCAGAGACAGUGAUUUCUCAGCUUGUCAUUUUCUGACGACUUCCCACAAUACUUAAGUAACAUCUCAAAAUGUGAUCAUGCCCUAUGUAUUAGUUUCCCUUUUAUUAUUCUUAUUUAUUAAACUGUAAGUUCUGGGAUAUAUGUGCAGAACAUGCAGGUUUGUUACAUAGGUAUACAUGUGCCAUAGUGGUUUGCUUCACCCAUCAACUCGUUAUCUAGGUUUGAAGCACUACAUGUGUUAGAUAUUUGUCCUAAGGCUCUCCCUCCCCUUGCUCUCCAUUCCCCAAAAGGCCCCGGUGUGUGAUGUUCCCCUCCCUGUGUCCAUGUGUUCUCACUGUUCAACUCCUACUUGUGAGUGAGAAGAAUAUGCAGUGUUUGGUUUUCCGUUCCUGUGUUAAUUUGCAGAGAAUGAGGGUUUCCAGCUUCGUCGAUGUCCCUGCAAAGGACAUGAACUCAUUCUUUUUUUAUGGCUACGUAGUGUUCAAUGGUAUAUGUGUGCCACAUGUUCUUUAUCCAGUCUAUUGUUGAUGGGCAUUUGGGUUGCUUCCAAAUCUUUGCUAUUGUGAACACUGCAGUAAACAUAUGUGCAUGUAUCUUUAUAGUAUAAUGAUUUAUAAUCCUUUGGGUAUAAACCCGGUAAUGCGAUGGCUGGGUCAAAUGGUAUUUCUCAGUCAAAAGGUUCUAGAUCCUUGAGGAAUCUCCACGCUGUCUUCCACAAUGGCUGAACUAAUUUACACUUCCAGCAACAGUGUAAAAGCAUUCCUAUUUCUCCACAUCUUCUCCAGCAUCUGUUGUUUCCUGACUUUUAAAUUUUCACCAUUUUAACUGGCGUGAGAUGGUAUCUCAGUGUGGUUUUGAUUUGCAUCUCUCUAAUGACCAGUGAUAAUGAGCUUUUUUUCAUGUUUGUUGGCUGCAUAAAUGUCUUUUGAGAAGUGUCUGUUCAUAUCCUUCACCUACUUUUUGAUGGGGUUGUUUUUUUUCUUGUAAAUUUGUUUAAGUUCUGUAAAGGAUUUUAAUUAUCUUUUGCUUGUGAAGCUUAGUUUGGCUGGAUAUGAAAUUCUGGGUUGGAAUAUUCUUUAAGAAUGUCAAAUACUGGCCCCCACUCUCUUCUGGCUUAUAGGGUUUCUGCAGAGAGAUCCUCUGUUAGUCUGAUGGCCUUCCCUUUGUAGGUAACCUGACCUUUUUCUCUGGCUGUCCUUAACAUUUUUUUUUUCUUUUCAGCCUUGGAGAAUCUGAUUAUUAUGUUUCUUGGGGUUGCUCUUCUUGAGGAGUAUCUUUGUGGUGUUCUCUUCAUUUCCUGAAUUUGAAUGUUGGCCUGUCUUGCUAUGUUGGGGAAGUUCUCCUGGAUAAUAUCUUGAAGUAUGUUUUCCAGCUUGGUUCCAUUUUCCCUGUCACUUUCAGGUACACCAGUCAAUCUUAGGUCUUUUCACAUAGUCCCAUAUUUCGUGGAGGCUUUGUUCAUUCCUUUUCAUUCUUUUUUCACUAAUCUUGUCUUUAUGCUUUAUUUCAUUAAGUUGAUCUUCAAUCUCUGAUAUACUUUCUUUGGCUUGAUUGAUUCAGCUGUUGAUACUUGUGUAUGCUUCACGAAGUUGUUGUGCUGUGUUUUUCAGCUCCAUCAAGUCAUUUAUGUUCUCUAAACUGGUUAUUCUAGUUAGCAGUUCCUAUAACCAUUUAUCAAGGUUCUUAGCUUUCUUGCAUUGGGUUAGAACAUGCUCCUUCAGCUCAGAGGAGUUUGUUAUUACACACCUUCUAAAGCCUACUUCUGUCAAUUUGUCAGACUCACUCUGUCCAGUUUUGUGCUCUUGCUGGAGAGGAGUUACAAUCAUUUGGAGGAGAAGAGGCAUUCUGGGUUUUUGGAAUUUUCAGCAUUUUUGCACUGGUUUUUCCUCAUCUUCAUGGAUUUAUCUACCUUUGAUCUUUGAUACUGAUGGCCUUUGGAUGGGGUUUUUGAGUGGUCAUCUUUUUUGUUGACGAUGAUGGUAUUGCUGUUUAUUAGUUUUCCUUCUAACAGUCAGACCCCUUCUGCAGGUCUGCUGGAGUUUGCUGGAGGUCCAUUCCAGACCCUGCUUGCCUGCGUAUCACCAGUGGAGGCUGCAGAACAGCAAAGAUUGCUGCCUGCUCCUUCCUCUGGAAGCUUUAUCCCAGAGGGGCAUCUGUGUGAUGCCAGCUGGAGCUCUCCUGUAUGAGGUGUCUGUUGACCCCUGCUGGAAGGUUUCUCCCCAUCAGGAGGCUUAGGGGUCAGGAACCCCCUCAAGGAGGCAGUCUGUUGCUUAGCAGAGCUUGAGCACUGUGCUGGGAGAUUGGCUGCUUUCCUCAGAGCCGGCAGGCAAGAACGUUUAAGUCUGCUGAAGCUGCACACACAGCUACCCCUUCCCCUAGGUGCUCUGUCCCAGGGAGAUGGGAGUUUUAUCUAUAAGCUCCUGAUUAGGGUUGCUGUCUUUCUUUCAGAGAUGCCCUGCCCAGUGAGGAGGAAUCUAGAGAGGCAAUCUGGCCCUAGGCACUUUCCCAUGCUGCAGUGAGUUUUGGACAGUCAGAGUUAACACUGUUAGGGGAAAACCACCUACUCAAGCCUCAGUAAUGACGGAUGCCCCUCGCCCCACCAAGCUCAGUCAUCCCAUGUUGACUUCAGACUGCUGUGCUGGCAUCAAGAAUUUCAAGCCAGUGGAUCUUAGCUUGCCAGGCUCUGUGGGAGUGGGAGCCUCUGGGCAAGACCACUUGGCUUCCUGGCUUCAGCCCCCUGGUGAGUGAAUGGUUCUGUCUCUCUGGGGUUCCAGCUGCCACUGAGUUGUGAAGAAAAACUCCUUCAGCUGUUCAUCUGCCCAAACAGCUGCCCAAUUGUGUGCUUGAAACCCAGGGCCCUGGCGGUAUAGGCACACAAGGGAAUCUCCUGGUCUGUGGAUUGUAAAAACUGUGGGAAAAGCAUAGUAUCUAUUAAAAACUGUGGGAAAAGCACAGUCCCUCAUGGCACAGUCCUUCAAGGCUUCCCUUGGCUAGGGGAGGGAAGUCCAUGGCCCCUUGCACUUCCAGGGUGAGGUGACACCCCACCCUGCUUCUGCUCACCCUCUCUGGGCUGCACCCACUAUCUAACCGGCCCUAGUGAGAUAAACUGGGUACCUCAGUUAGAAAUGCAGAAAUCACCUGCCUUCUGCAUUGGUCUUACUGGGAGCUGUACACUGGAGCUGUUCCUCUUCCGUCAUCUUGCCAGCUCUCUUGUAUUAGUUUCCUCUUGCUGGCAUAAGGAAUUGUCUCCAUUUUAGCAGCUAAAAACAACAUCCAUUUAUUAAUUCCUGGUUCUGCAGGUCAGAGUCCCAUAGACUUGGCUGGUUUCUCUGCCCUGAGUCUUAUUAGGUUGACAGCAAGGGGCCAACAAGGCUGCAUUCCCUUUUGAAAAUUUUGGAGAUGGAUGUGUGUCUUUGUUCAUUCAGGUUAUUUGCUGAAUUCAGUUCCUUGUAGUUGUAACACUGAGAUCUCCCUUUCCUUUCUCACAGUCAGCCCAGGGCGGCCUUUGCUCCUAGAUGCUGCUUACAUUCCUCAGUCUUUCCAGGUGGGCCCUCCACCCACAGCAGGUAGGGUCCCUCUCUCACUUCAGAUCUUUCCUCCUUACUCUUCUCACUCCAGCCAGACAUUGCUCUAAUUUUAGAUGAGUUCCACUCCCUGGUUUAGGGUCUGCUAUCUUCAUGACAUCUGCCAAAUCUCAUCACAGCAGUACCCAAGUUAAUGGUUGAUUGAAUGACUGGGAGAUAGUAAUAGUAAGGGAUACCUUUAGAAUCCUGCCUGCCGCUGCCUAGGAAGUCUUGAAUGAUAUGAUUCUUGUGACCUCUCUGACUUCAUGUCAUUGCUCUUUCCCUUUUACUCUCUGGGCUCCAGGCCAGCAUCGCCUCCUUGCUAUUUUCUCCAACUGACCAAACCUACCCCACUUGAGGGCCUUGACACUUCCCAUUUCCUCUGCCAGGAACGCCCUUGCCCAAGGCCUUUUUGUGGCCCACUCUCUCACUGUGUUGGCUGAUCCUCUGGGAAGCAGACUUCAAGGCAGUUUUAGGAGAGUUCGAGAUGUAUCGGGGGGAGAGGAGGAGAAAGGAGGAUUGGAGGAAGAGCCUCUGAUUUCCACACGUGCUGCACUGAGAAAGUGUCAGCCAGCCCAGUGGGGAGCUUUGGCUACAGAGAUUGCCUGUGGAAGAGUCCCACGCUGCCUGGGAAAUGGUAAGCCCUUGUAUCAUUGUGCUCCGUCAUUGGCUGAGGGCUAUCCAGGAAGCAUGUGGCCUCCACUCCAAAGCUGAGGCAGAAAAAAACAAAUGUCCAUCAACAGAUGAGUGGAUGGACAAAACGUAGUAUGCACAUUCGGUGGAAUAGUAUCCGGCCAUGGAAAGGAAUAAAGUAUGGACACACACCAGGAUGAACACUGGGAACACUGUGCUCAGUAAAAUAAACCAGCCACAGAAGGACAAACAUUGUAUGCUCCUACUUAUGGUGAAUGUCUGGAAUAGGUAAAUCCAUAGAGAUAGAUGUAGAUUAGAAGGUACCGAAGCUUGCAGAAGGAAGGGAUGGGGGGUUAUCAUUUAAUGGGUACAGUUCCUGUUUGAGGUGGUAACAAUUCUUGGAACCAGAUGGUAGUGAUGGUUGCACAGAAUUGUGAAUAUAAUGAACACCACUUAAAAAUCUGAAAAAUGAUGGAAGUGGUAAAAUUUAUGCUGCAUACAUUUUACUACAGUAAAAAAACAUAGUUAAGAAAACAAAAGACCAAGGAAGAUCCUGAAAGCACCAGCAGCUAGAAGCUGUCAGCAGAGAGCGACUUUUGUGGAAGCACAUCUCCACGGCUGCCACGCUCACCUUCUCAGGCCUCUGCCGAAAUGGCAACUGAGCGGUGAGUCCUUUAAUGACUAAAUUACAUCCAAGAGAAAGGCCUAUCCUUCUUUUCUUUUUUUUUUUUUUGAGAUGGAGUCUUGCUCUGUUGCCAGGCUGGAGCACAGUGGCACAGUCUCAGCUCACUGCAAUCUCCACCUCCUGAGUUCAAGCGAUUCUUCCGCCUCAGCCUCCCGAGUAGCUGGGACUACAGGUGUGUGCCAAACACCUGGUUACUUUUGGAAUUUUUUGUAGAGACAGGGUUUCACCAUGUUGGCCAGGAUGGUCUUGACCUCUUGACCUCCUGAUCCACGUGCCUUAGGCUCCCAAAAUGCUGGGAUUACAGGCAUGAGCCACUGUGCCUGGUACCUUCCUUUUUUUUUUUUGAGACUGAGUCUCUCUCUCUCUCCAGGCUGGAGUGCUGUGGCACGAUCUUGGCUCACUGCAGCCUCCAGCUCCCAAGUUGAAACAAUUCUACUGCCUCAGCCUCCUGAGUAGCUGGGACUACAGGUGCAUGGCACCACGCACAGCUAAUUUUUGUAUUUUUAGUAGAGACUGGGUUUCACCAUGUUGGUCAGGAUGGUCUUGAUCUCUUGACCUCGUGAUCUGCCUGCCUCGGCCUCCUAAAGUGCUGGGAUUACAGGUGUGAGCCACAACACCUGGCCAGGCCCAUCCUUCUUACCCAAGUUAAUUUUUCUCCAUUACACUUAAAACCUUCUGACUUUUAUAUUUACCUGUUUAUUUUCUGCUUCCCCAGUAGACCAUGAGCACUGUGUGUAUAGAGUGUCCAUCUGUAGACUCACAGAGCAAGAAGCGUGCCUGCCUCAAUCUUGAAUGGAUGAGUAAGUGACCUACCUGAUGAUUCAUUCAUUAGACAAAUAGUUGAUCUCAGUCAAUUACAUCAUGUCUUGUGUUAUUUAUACUUUCCAUUGAUAAAUUACUACAGACAGAGUUCAGUCAGCCCUUCCUAAUUAGAGGGUACCCUGUCUUUUGGAAAGCUACUUUGUUUUUCCCCCCUGUGAAUUGAAUUAUCAGAAGCUCAUCACAGGAAAGGAGAUCAUUCUGGAGUAACUUUUGCACUGAAACUGCACUGGACAUUACUGAGCUCCGUCCUGAUGGAAGAAGAAUGUCCCGGGAAUCAGGAAACGUGCGGCAUGUUCAGUCUGGGGUUGACUUCUGUUCAAGAAUGUAGGGGGUGCAAUAAGAAGAUGGUAUGUCAGAAACUGGAGAGUUGGCACAGAUGAAAGGUCUGUUGGAAAGGGUUGGAAGAGAGACAGCGUCCAUGUUUGAAGCCAGGGAGGAAGGAGGGCAGAUAGAAUGGUUCACGUUGGAGAGGAGAGAGACUGAAAACACUCUUCUGCCCAGAGAAUUUUUUUUAAUGGGAAGCCUUGACCUUGAGCAUGGUUGGAGAGAGGUCUGGGGACUAAUGAGGGGCUUAGAUGAUAUAGAAAAGAUUUUGUGAGACCUGGAACCAGCUAGGUCAGAGGAUGAACCAUAAUUCUAUCCAGAAAAAAUUAACUGGCUUUAUUUAUGGUAAGUCCUGGUUCCAGACCGCUGUGGUCAGUAGAUAAAGGGAGAAUGUGUGUGUGUGUCUUUCUAGGGAACUUCUGUUUCUUUUGUCUUAGUUCUCUUCUUCCCACACCUCUUUUCUUCUUCUUCAUCCCAUCCCCACAAUAAUAUCUGAACCGUUUGAUGCCAACAUCUCAAAAUGUAACCCUGAAGUCAAAGAGAAAAGGGGUGUUCCAUGGGGGGAUAGCUGUUAAGAGCAGGUGAGUCUGGAAGGGCCACCCCUCUCCCAUCAACUAGAACAUUCCACCUAGUAAACUCCCAGCUUGUAAAUUCCAUUCAGCUAGCAGGUUCCAGGAGUAGUAUUUCCAAAGAAUUAUAAUGUAAAAGAUUAACAGGUGGUCCAGGGAACUGAGAAUCAAACAAAAAGGCUUGUUAAAUAAAAUGAGUUAAAUGAAAGUUACAAUUAAAAGGCCUGUGGGAGAAAUCUAGGAGAGAAAAUGUCUUCUGGAAUUAGGUCCAGAAAAUGGUCAGUGUGUUUCUGUGGGUCCUGGUUCAAGAAAAGAUGCACAAAGGGCAGUGUUGUUUGGAAGAGUGAGUCCCUGGUGCCGGUUGAAUGAGCCUGGUGUGGUGGGUCCUGCAGCCCCUUUCAUCUCAGUAAGUUCUUGUCACAUCUCCACUUUCCUUCCGUGUCCCAGGCCGCUAUAGCAGUUGAACUUCGAGGAUGGAGAACUAGAACACAAUUCUCCUGGAGAGCUGAGAAUUGUAAACAUUCACCCCGCAUCCAUCUCUUCCUCAUCACUUCCAUUUUGCACAUUGCUCCUGGUUUGCUCCUCCUAAAGCCUGAACCUUGCAUUAUUACUAUAAUCUCCUCCCUCCCACCUCCACAGACUCCCCUUUUCUACUGAUCACAGUCCACAUGAAGUGUGGGGCAGUCAACGUUCUUCAUGCCCUUGAGCAAGGCUCGAGUCUUGCCUUUGCAUUCCUAUUCAGAAGGCUUGGAAUUCAUUGAAGAGAGUUAACUGAUGCUCUCCUUGAUAAUUUUCCUUUUAUUAUUCCAGGCAUCAUUCUGUUUGCUGCUUCCCUUCUAUGACAACUUAAAUCCAAUUAUUCUUUCUUUCAUGCUCUAUUCAAAUGGCACCACCACCCCAAAAGCCUCCUCUGAUCACCACUCCACCUUUCUAUGGCAGAUUUUACAAUUACCGUAUAUCAAGGGGACCUGCGCAUCUGUCUUGUCUCUCCCACUGCAGUUUAAGCAAAAGAUCAUGUUGCUAUGCUCAGCUCUGGCUUCUUCACAAGGCACACAGCAGAGUAUAUAGAAGAUGCUCAGAAAGUUUUUAUGGAAAUAAAGAGAUAGGAUAGAUGGCUCAUGUCGGGAAGUAAGACUUGGAGAAGAAGCGAGGUUCCUUGUAAGACAGAAAAGAAGGCACGCCUGUAAUCCCAGCACUUUGGGAGGCCGAGGUGGGUGGAUCACGAGGUCAAGAGAUCAAGACCAUCCUGGUCAACAUGGUGAAACCCCGUCUCUACUAAAAAUACAAAAAAUUAGCUGGGCAUGGUGGUGUGUGCCUGUAAUCCCAGCUACUCGGGAGGCUGAGGCAGGAGAAUUGCCUGAACCCAGGAGGCGGAGGUUGUGGUGAGCCGAGAUCGCACCAUUGCACUCCAGCCUGGGUAACAAGAGCGAAACUCCAUCUCAAAAAAAAAAAAAAAAAAAAGAGAAAAGAAGGGGGGGAGGAUGAAUGAACAUGUACAAAAACACUGAGAUAAAAAAGAAGGAAGGUGGGGAAGUACUUAUGGGAGAGCUGUUAUAUUCUUGGGUUGCUAGUUCCCUGGGAGCUAGAAACAAGAGUUUGGGAAGCAUCAUAGAAGAACUAGUCAAAGCAGAGGUUGGAAGUACGUACAAACGUAUUUCUAGAAGUACGUACAAAUGUAUUUCUAGAAGUAUGUACAGAUGUAUUUCUAGAGGUGUGAAAAGAGAUCUUGUGGGUUGGGGAGAAAGGGGUGGACAAGAUCGAGCCUGGGUGUAGCUAUGGUUAUGGGGGGUGAAUAAGAAAUGGAGGAAGAAGGAGGUUCAGUGUUAGGGAACCCUAAAGUAGAACUGGAAAAGGAGUUAAUAGAGAGAAGACAGAGACUAAAAAACUAAAAAGACAAAAAAGCAGACAAAAGAAAAGCCUUCUCUAGUUAAAGUAACCUUUGAAUAGCAGUUUGAACACAGAGGAGGGACAGAAGUGUCUCCUGCUGGAUGCACAUGAGCUGUGGGAAGAGAACCCAAGGGGAUGAGAACCUCAUGGCAAUGAAAGGAAAUUGACUCUGUAGCUAUGAUCAGCCAUCAAGUGAUCUAUCCUGGUAUCUUACAAACUGAGUUCCUUGGGGCAUCUCUGGGAGGUGGAGUGGGUUUUGGAGGCCAUAUUUGUUUUCUAGGGUUAUUGUAACAAAUGAUCACAAACUGGGUAGCUUAAACAACAGAAGUGUAUUCUCUCAUAGUUAUUCUGGCCAGAAGUCUGGAAUCAAGGUGUCAAUAGGAGGCCAGGCUCCCUUGGAAGGCUCUGGGAGGCCCCUUCCUUGCCUCUUGGAGCUUCUGGUAGCCCAAGUGUUCCUUGGCUCCUGGCAGCAUAGCUCUGAAGCCUCUGCCUUCACAGUCUCAUGGCCAUCCUCCCCGCCUGCCUGUGUCUUCAUGUGGCAUUCUCUUCCUGCUGUGUCUCCUUGUCUUCAGAGGAUACCAGGAAAAUCAGAGGGGAAUCCCACAAGAAGUGUGUGACUGUUUUGCCUCAUUGAAAAUAUAAGGUGCUAUGGCUUGAAAUACAUUGGUAUUCUGCCCCGGCUUCACUGCAGCGUGAACAGCAAUGAUGUUCUCCUGAAUAUCAAUUCCAGACGUUUUAGGAAGGGCUCAGCAGUUCCGUGAGAAUGAAGCUGUGUUACUCAAGUGUAAUAAGCCAAAAAAAAAAAAAAAAAUCUUGUUUUCAUGCAGCACUUGUACAGACCCGUGACCUGGACAGGUAAGUGCCUUUUCUGUUCAUUGUAGGCUUGGAAGGCACAGGGUAUUCACUCAGGCUUAUCAGCACAAGCGGAGAAGGAACAUUCCAGCCCAGGGAAUUGAGUCGAAAUGAGUAUCAGGGACCCAGCUUUUGCCAGCUAAUUAUGGACUGAAUAUUCAAUCCAGGGUUUGCAAAGUGCUGCUACUGAGCGCCUGCCCCGCCAAGAAAGGAUUUAAACAUGGUCAACUCAGGGUAAGUUAUUUUGCAAAUCCAAUAUUUAUUAUUUUUAUGUACAAAAAGUAAACUGCAAGUGAACAUAAAAUCAAAUCCAAGCCUUUUGGCUGCAUGGACUGUUGGACUUUAUCUCAUAGUUACAGCGAAUCAUAUACGCCAUAGACUGCCACCACCAUGCUACAUCUGUGACACAGCAGGAAUGUGCUGUUUGCCUAUCUGAGGAAUGUUCAAUAGAGAAAAGUAGAUCCUAAAGCAACCUGGAGGUCAGAGGAUUCUGAGAUAAUCCCACUGUUGAAAAACAUCUAAACAGCAAAUGUCCAAUGUGUAAUAAAAUAGUUAAAAGGUCCAAAUCCAUUUCUACUUGGCUGAUCAAGCACGAGAAAUCUAACAGCACUUUGUCAUUUUGCUUUUCAGAUUUUCACGGAGGACAUGGGCCAUUGACAUAUAA